Toxocara canis (dog roundworm) is the source of this 82-nucleotide transfer RNA. It matches the Rfam family "tRNA". Rfam says of the family: Transfer RNA (tRNA) molecules are approximately 80 nucleotides in length. NCBI's taxonomy places the organism in Eukaryota, Metazoa, Nematoda, Chromadorea, Rhabditida, Toxocaridae. The record is from Rfam.
ACAGCGGGUUCCGAGUGGUUAAAGAGUUUGACUCGAAAUCAAAUGGGCUGGGCCCGCAUAGGUUCGAAUCCUGUUCGCUGCG